GCGUGAGUGAAGAAGGCCUUAGGGUUGUAAAGCUCUUUCAGCGGGGAAGAUAAUGACGGUACCCGCAGAAGAAGCCCCGGCUAACUCCGUGCCAGCAGCCGCGGUAAGACGGAGGGGGCUAGCGUUGUUCGGAAUUACUGGGCGUAAAGCGCACGCAGGCGGCCUGUCAAGUUGGGCGUGAAAGCCCGGGGCUCAACCCCGGAAUUGCGCUCAAAACUAGCAGGCUCGAGACCGGGAGAGGAGAGCGGAAUUCCCAGUGUAGAGGUGAAAUUCGU
This 275-nucleotide ribosomal RNA is filed under the name uncultured bacterium. RNAcentral's name for it is "partial 16S ribosomal RNA". It matches the Rfam family "Bacterial small subunit ribosomal RNA", at positions 399 to 691 of the family's 1533-position model. The record is from RNAcentral.